This 214-nucleotide ribosomal RNA is filed under the name Planctomycetia bacterium. Its description in RNAcentral is "partial 16S ribosomal RNA". It matches the Rfam family "Bacterial small subunit ribosomal RNA", at positions 1 to 230 of the family's 1533-position model. The record is from RNAcentral. Lineage: Bacteria; Pseudomonadati; Planctomycetota; Planctomycetia.
CAAUUGAAGGGUUUGAUUCUGGCUCAGAAUGAACGUUGGCGGCGUGGAUUAGGCAUGCAAGUCGAGCGAGAAGCUUGCUUCGGCAAGUGGACAGCGGCGAAAGGGACAGUAAUGUGUAGGUACCUACCCCCGGAUCUGGGAUAGCUGCGGGAAACUGCAGGUAAUACCGGAUAACGUCUCCGGACCAAAGGUGUGAUUCCGUCUGGGGAGGGGC